This 253-nucleotide ribosomal RNA is filed under the name uncultured bacterium. RNAcentral describes it as "partial 16S ribosomal RNA". It matches the Rfam family "Bacterial small subunit ribosomal RNA", at positions 524 to 776 of the family's 1533-position model. The record is from RNAcentral.
UACGUAGGGGGCAAGCGUUGUUCGGAUUUAUUGGGCGUAAAGAGCGUGUAGGCGGCUUUGCAAGUCCGUUGUGAAAACUCGAGGCUCAACCUCGAGACGCCGGUGGAAACUGCAAAGCUAGAGUCCGGAAGAGGAGAGUGGAAUUCCUGGUGUAGCGGUGAAAUGCGCAGAUAUCAGGAAGAACACCCGUGGCGAAGGCGGCUCUCUGGGACGGUACUGACGCUGAGACGCGAAAGCGUGGGGAGCGAACAGG